UCGAUGGGCGUUGUUUUGCUUCCGUUCAGUUAACGCGGUGGCCUAAGCCGACGCCUCUGGGGGUUGCGCGAGUGGGAGCACCCAGGCCUGGAAGAGGCGGGGAGGUGGGCACCAGGGGCUGUCCUGCGGAACGGAGGCGCGGCCCCGCGGGGUCGCCGGUGCUGAGGGGCCGCAGCCCGGGCGGUCCGUCCCGCGUCUCCCCACGCAGACGUGCCUGAGACCCUCGAGGGGACGGGCUGGGGUCGCCGGGGGCCUGCCGGUCCGCCGCCAAGCGGGAGGCUGUCGGUCCAGGGGAGCCUGCCUCGUUGGGCCCGCCUUCACGCCUUGCCCCACUUUCCGCCCCGCCCGAAGGCCAGGCCCCGCCCCUUUGGCUGGAGCCCCGCCCCCACGCGAGUCUGGGGUCUGCGGCUGGGCUGGCUAGAAUUGUCGUCCUUCCCGCGGGCUGCUAGGUCGGCGGGUCUUUGCAGCUGCAGGCUGCUCGCGGUUCGCCCGCGCCGGCUGUUUGCCAUUUCCCGGCGCGGUUCUGAGCGUUCUGCUCCCGCGUCUGGGAGGGGCGCUGGAAGAGACGUGCAGCGUCUAGAAGGGCGGCUGGGCCGAGCGCAGGAGCAGGGACCCUCCGCGGUCACCCAGCCGCUCGCGAUCCCCGCGGCCGGCCACGCUCGGACGCUGACAGCGAGAGGGCCCCGGGGACAGUCUGGCUCCAGGAUGGUCACCACCACCACCUGCACCCGGUUCACGGACGAGUACCAGCUCUUUGAGGAGCUCGGGAAGUAAGCGCGGCGCUCGGGGGAAUGGUCCUGCACGCGUCCGCCCCCGUCACCCCGAGAGCCUGUGUGGCCGCAGCGUAGACCGGUUUCUGUAAGCGGAGAUGCCUCCGGAGUCCGCGGCGACCGUGCGCGGAAGGGUCGCGCGGUCCCUGCGUUGCCGUGUUACUGAUGCCCAGAGUUGCACGUCCAGAGAGGGGCCGUUCAGACCUGCUCGACUCUGCCCGCGUCCCUGUCACCCAUAGCUCGGGUGACCUGCUCGUCAUUCCCUCCCAGGGCUCCCACGCCUCCGCUUCUUCCCCGGAGGAUUCACGCUCAACGGGAGAGCCUUUUGGACACCGGGGAACCCCCAGGGCGGCCUAGCGGUGCGCGAACCUGUAGGACCGCCGGACACGUGCCGGCAGCGAACGGGGACCUGCUGAAGCCCGUGCAUGGAGACCUGCUGAGGGUCUGAUGGUGCGCGGGGAACCUGGAGCGACCGGGCGGCUGAUGAUACGAUUUAUGCAGCGUCUGACCCAAACCCAAUCCUCUGCCCGUUUCCACUAUCAUUGCUGAAAGGGUGCGGUGUAUGAUGGUGUUUUAUGCAGCUGAAUGAAGGGAAAAGGAAACAUCUUCUAAAUGGAAUGAACAUUCUGUCUUUAUAUGUUUAUGCAUGGCUUGCUGUCAAAACGGAGAAUAUGUCAGAAGAGCAGCUUAAUUCAAAUCUCUCCUCUCCCCCAGCCCAAAAUAGGGGGAAAUAAACCUACUGGUCAAGAAUACGCUGCCGAAACCAUCAACAGCAAGAAGCUUUCUGCCAGGGGAAGGAAAUCCAGUUUUCUCUGAGUUCUGCUGAUCUGAAGAUGAAAAAGGGGAGAGAAGAUUACACUACGUAAAAUAUGUAAACAGACAUGCAGGACAGUCCCUCCAGACGAAGACGGCAGCAGCCAGUUUGCGAUGUGAACACGUGUGUAAGCUGUUCCUCCCCAUAAGGACGGUCCGUGGACACUGCUCCUUCUCGGGCAGUGACACAGCAAGGGGAAGUAGACUGUAAAGAGUCAGAGAACCUGCUUUCUGAAAUCUGAGCCCUGGGCCGCUCGGGGUGAGGCAGGCUGGGCGGCAGUGGGCCAGUCACCAGACGGCUCUGAGCUGCAGCGUCCAGAGCGGAGGAAGGGCCGGUCCAUCCCAGAAGGCUCCUGCAUCAGCUGGGGCCGCUCAUGUACGGAGAGCGCGAUGGUUCAGAUUAAGUCACACUUCAGAACUUUGGCAUCUGGAUGGAAUUGUCUUGGCCAAGAAGCAAGAAUACUCUUUAGAAGGAAAAAAACACAGUAUUUUAUUUCUUUAUACAUAUAGUGGGUCAUGAUGCAUUAAAUUUCUAGAAAACUUA
Phyllostomus hastatus (greater spear-nosed bat) is the source of this 2127-nucleotide RNA transcript. It is a transcript of the gene named calcium/calmodulin-dependent protein kinase type II subunit delta-like, with no coding region annotated. Lineage: Eukaryota; Metazoa; Chordata; Mammalia; Chiroptera; Phyllostomidae. The transcript is spliced from 3 exons. The record is from RefSeq and is a predicted model, not a curated record.